RNAcentral lists this ribosomal RNA (492 nucleotides) under uncultured bacterium. Its description in RNAcentral is "partial 16S ribosomal RNA". It matches the Rfam family "Bacterial small subunit ribosomal RNA", at positions 29 to 507 of the family's 1533-position model. The record is from RNAcentral.
AGUGAACGCUGGCGGUAUGCCUAACACAUGCAAGUCGAACGGCAGCACAGUAGGUGCUUGCUCUUACGGGAGGCGAGUGGCGAACGGGCGAGUAAUACAUCGGAAUCUACUUUUUCGUGGGGGAAUACGAGGGGAAACUUACGCUUAUACCGCAAACGACCUUAGGGUGAAAUCAUGCGAUGUGCGGACCUUGCGCGAGUUAAUGCGCCGAUGUGGGAUUAGCGAGGUGGGGGGGGAAAGGCCCACCAAGGCGUGCAUGCGUAACUGGCCUGAGAGGAUGAUCCGCCACAUGGGGACUGAGACACGGGCCAAACUCCUACGGGGGGCAGCAGGAGGGAAUCUUCGGAAAUGGAGGCAAAUCUUACGCAGCACCGCCGCGGGGGGGAAAAAGGGCUUCGGGUUGUAAAGCCCUUUUGUUAGGGAAAAAAAGCGCAUAGAUUAACUCCCAGGCGUUUGACGGUACCCAAACAGAAAGCCACGGCUAACUUCGUG